GUACACAAAAAUGCACAUGCUGUGAGCUCGAUGAGUAGGGCGGGACACGUGGUAUCCUGUCUGAAUAUGGGGGGACCAUCCUCCAAGGCUAAAUACUCCUGACUGACCGAUAGUGAACCAGUACCGUGAGGGAAAGGCGAAAAGAACCCCGGCGAGGGGAGUGAAAAAGAACCUGAAACCGUGUACGUACAAGCAGUGGGAGCACGCUUAGGCGUGUGACUGCGUACCUUUUGUAUAAUGGGUCAGCGACUUAUAUUCUGUAGCAAGGUUAACCGAAUAGGGGAGCCGAAGGGAAACCGAGUCUUAACUGGGCGUUAAGUUGCAGGGUAUAGACCCGAAACCCGGUGAUCUAGCCAUGGGCAGGUUGAAGGUUGGGUAACACUAACUGGAGGACCGAACCGACUAAUGUUGAAAAAUUAGCGGAUGACUUGUGGCUGGGGGUGAAAGGCCAAUCAAACCGGGAGAUAGCUGGUUCUCCCCGAAAGCUAUUUAGGUAGCGCCUCGUGAAUUCAUCUCCGGGGGUAGAGCACUGUUUCGGCAAGGGGGUCAUCCCGACUUACCAACCCGAUGCAAACUGCGAAUACCGGAGAAUGUUAUCACGGGAGACACACGGCGGGUGCUAACGUCCGUCGUGAAGAGGGAAACAACCCAGACCGCCAGCUAAGGUCCCAAAGUCAUGGUUAAGUGGGAAACGAUGUGGGAAGGCCCAGACAGCCAGGAUGUUGGCUUAGAAGCAGCCAUCAUUUAAAGAAAGCGUAAUAGCUCACUGGUCGAGUCGGCCUGCGCGGAAGAUGUAACGGGGCUAAACCAUGCACCGAAGCUGCGGCAGCGACACUAUGUGUUGUUGGGUAGGGGAGCGUUCUGUAAGCCUGUGAAGGUGUACUGUGAGGUAUGCUGGAGGUAUCAGAAGUGCGAAUGCUGACAUAAGUAACGAUAAAGCGGGUGAAAAGCCCGCUCGCCGGAAGACCAAGGGUUCCUGUCCAACGUUAAUCGGGGCAGGGUGAGUCGACCCCUAAGGCGAGGCCGAAAGGCGUAGUCGAUGGGAAACAGGUUAAUAUUCCUGUACUUGGUGUUACUGCGAAGGGGGGACGGAGAAGGCUAUGUUGGCCGGGCGACGGUUGUCCCGGUUUAAGCGUGUAGGCUGGUUUUCCAGGCAAAUCCGGAAAAUCAAGGCUGAGGCGUGAUGACGAGGCACUACGGUGCUGAAGCAACAAAUGCCCUGCUUCCAGGAAAAGCCUCUAAGCAUCAGGUAACAUCAAAUCGUACCCCAAACCGACACAGGUGGUCAGGUAGAGAAUACCAAGGCGCUUGAGAGAACUCGGGUGAAGGAACUAGGCAAAAUGGUGCCGUAACUUCGGGAGAAGGCACGCUGAUAUGUAGGUGAAGUCCCUCGCGGAUGGAGCUGAAAUCAGUCGAAGAUACCAGCUGGCUGCAACUGUUUAUUAAAAACACAGCACUGUGCAAACACGAAAGUGGACGUAUACGGUGUGACGCCUGCCCGGUGCCGGAAGGUUAAUUGAUGGGGUCAGCGCAAGCGAAGCUCUUGAUCGAAGCCCCGGUAAACGGCGGCCGUAACUAUAACGGUCCUAAGGUAGCGAAAUUCCUUGUCGGGUAAGUUCCGACCUGCACGAAUGGCGUAAUGAUGGCCAGGCUGUCUCCACCCGAGACUCAGUGAAAUUGAACUCGCUGUGAAGAUGCAGUGUACCCGCGGCAAGACGGAAAGACCCCGUGAACCUUUACUAUAGCUUGACACUGAACAUUGAGCCUUGAUGUGUAGGAUAGGUGGGAGGCUUUGAAGUGUGGACGCCAGUCUGCAUGGAGCCGACCUUGAAAUACCACCCUUUAAUGUUUGAUGUUCUAACGUUGACCCGUGAUCCGGGUUGCGGACAGUGUCUGGUGG
This 1900-nucleotide ribosomal RNA is filed under the name Escherichia coli. RNAcentral's name for it is "partial 23S ribosomal RNA". It matches the Rfam family "Bacterial large subunit ribosomal RNA", at positions 375 to 2264 of the family's 2925-position model. Lineage: Bacteria; Pseudomonadati; Pseudomonadota; Gammaproteobacteria; Enterobacterales; Enterobacteriaceae. The record is from RNAcentral.